CGUAGGGGGCGAGCGUUGUCCGGAAUUAUUGGGCGUAAAGAGCGUGUAGGCUGUUCGGUAAGUCUGCCGUGAAAACCUGAGGCUCAACCUCGGGCGUGCGGUGGAUACUGCCGGGCUAGAGGACGGUAGAGGCGAGUGGAAUUCCCGGUGUAGCGGUGAAAUGCGCAGAUAUCGGGAGGAACACCAGUAGCGAAGGCGGCUCGCUGGGCCGUUCCUGACGCUGAGACGCGAAAGCUAGGGGAGCGAACAGGAUUAGAUACCCUGGUAGUCCUAGCCGUAAACGAUGGACACUAGGUGUGGGGGGAGUCGAAUCCCUCUGUGCCGCAGUUAACGCGUUAAGUGUCCCGCCUGGGGAGUACGGCCGCAAGGCUA
RNAcentral lists this ribosomal RNA (372 nucleotides) under uncultured organism. RNAcentral's name for it is "bacterial SSU rRNA". It matches the Rfam family "Bacterial small subunit ribosomal RNA", at positions 526 to 896 of the family's 1533-position model. The record is from RNAcentral.